GGAACGGUGGCCGAGUGGUCGAGGCACUUGCUCGUCAAGCAAGACGACGCGGGUUCAAUUCCCGCCCGUUCCG
RNAcentral lists this transfer RNA (73 nucleotides) under Acidobacteriota bacterium. RNAcentral describes it as "tRNA-Asp". It matches the Rfam family "tRNA". From Rfam's summary of the family: Transfer RNA (tRNA) molecules are approximately 80 nucleotides in length. The record is from RNAcentral. Lineage: Bacteria; Pseudomonadati; Acidobacteriota.